UAAUACGGAGGGUGCAAGCGUUAUCCGGAUUCACUGGGUUUAAAGGGUGCGUAGGCGGGCAGGUAAGUCAGUGGUGAAAUCUUCGAGCUUAACUCGGAAACUGCCAUUGAUACUAUUUGUCUUGAAUAUGGUGGAGGUGAGCGGAAUAUGUCAUGUAGCGGUGAAAUGCUUAGAUAUGACAUAGAACACCAAUUGCGUAGGCAGCUCACUACACCUAUAUUGACGCUGAGGCACGAAAGCGUGGGGAUCAAACAGGAUUAGAUACCCUGGUAGUCCACGCCCUAAACUAUGGAUACUCGACAUUUGCGAUACACAGUAAGUGUCUGAGCGAAAGCAUUAAGUAUCCCACCUGGGAAGUACGACCGCAAGGUUG
Molecule: ribosomal RNA, 373 nt
Filed under: uncultured bacterium
Lineage: Bacteria
Description: bacterial SSU rRNA
Rfam family: Bacterial small subunit ribosomal RNA
Source: RNAcentral